This 4528-nucleotide long non-coding RNA is filed under the name Gallus gallus (chicken). RNAcentral's name for it is "lncRNA (ENSGALG00010008992.1)". Lineage: Eukaryota; Metazoa; Chordata; Aves; Galliformes; Phasianidae. The record is from RNAcentral.
UUUUUUUUCAGGACUACUGCUUUCCUCUUUCACUUUAUUUAGGACUCUCCUUAAAACUUGCUUUGAUGCCUAAGAUGUUCAGGAAUCCCCUGAGCAGCGGCUGUGAUGCUCUGUGCUUAGGUCCACACUGCCUUGCUGCUAUGUUGCACUCCACCAUCUUUUUUAUGUUCACCUGUUGUUUGUCCUCUAGAAUUUGUAUUUCAAACCCUGUGGGUCAAAGUCUGCUUGCGUUACGUGCAUAUGCAGCACCUACUGCUGUGAAUUGGGGUCAUGCUGUCUGUCACCUAGUUCGUAAUUGGUUUUCUGGUCCAUGCUCUGAAGAUGACUCUACUCUGCUCAGUCCUAUCUGGGCUGCCGAUUUGCUGAUAUGGCAUUCCUUUGCUUUUCUCAUUUUCACCUGCACGGCAGUCCAAGUAAGCUGUUAAGUACAACCGGGAUAGAGCAGGGUAUUAUUGUCUUUGUCUGAAUACACAGAUGCAUUCUGACACCUCCUAAUCCUCAAGGCCAGGAUGUCAAUAAAAACUGGAAAUGCUGUGGCAUCAUCAUAUCUCACCUUCAGUAUAAUCCUAACGCAGGGUCUGUGGCCUUGGAUAUGUGAUGGAUGAGUUUUUAUCACUCCGUUCAGUUGCUUUAUAAUGGCAUACAAUGAUUGUGCUGUCAAUAAGUAGCUAUAACCUAUGUCUGCUCUACAGGUCAUUCUGCUCCCUUAACUGCCUCUCUACAGCCCUCAGCCCUAAAUUUUAAAUCUGUGCAAGAAAUAAUGCGUGCCUGUGAAAUUAAGGCUUAUAUUCCUCUUGUUAUUAAUCAGCUCUUCCCUAGCAGCCUCUGAUUAUGCUCCACACUGCAUUAGCAUGACUGCAAUGCUCGAGAUCCAUCUCCCCAUCACGUCCUUUUCUUUCUCUGAUUCCUUUUCUAACUUCUAGCAGAAGAAGGGCCAUUCAUUCAGAAGGUGGCAGGUGUGAAGUGCUGGAGUUUAACAGAAAAAAAAGAAUAGGCGAACAAUGCAUUUAUUAGACUAUUUCAUGUGAAGAGGAAAGGAAGGGGUUUCAAAGAAUGGGGAAGAAAAAUUAGAGGGCAGUGUGACUAGAUCUGAAUUUAGAUUAAGGUUAAGCAACUUCUGAAAGUUUAUUUUCUUUUUUUUCCCCUCCAGCUAAGGACAGCCCUUGAAGAUGUCAACAGACAAAAGAGAAAUAAGCCUAAAUCUAAAUCCUGGUCUUAAUAUACUGAAACCUCUGGGAAUCCAGAUCUAGCUCCACUCAGGUGCAUUGCAUUUCAUAGGCAGGGCAGAGACAGAGUUUUGGUUUAUUUUUUUCCCCUCUUUUUCCUGAGGAAAGGAAACAAAAGGGAACACUUUGGGUCACCCUAAUGAACCAGAUUAUGACAUUGUUUUAGCACUGUUUUACCUAACAUCUCAAGUAAGAUGUUAGGCAGCCUGAGGCACUUGUAGGUCAUGGUGCCCCCAAGCACCACCCGGAGCACCCACCUCUGCCCACAGGGCAGGGCCUCCAGCCCAGCACCCCGCCUAGUCCCACCCAAGCUGUGCUCCUUGGGCCCCUCCUCCUGGACGACCUUGGGCCCACAUCACAGCCUGGGUUUCUGCACCAUCUGUUGCUAAUCCUGUCUGAAACCAUCUAAACCCUGGUCCUGACUCACCCCAGUCAUGGCACCCUGGAGCCUUCAGGAUGGUGUCCCAAUAGUGAUGGUGUGUGUAGCAGCGUCACCCCAGCUCCCAGAUUGGCCCCCAAAUACAGAGCAACUCCACCAGCGCUGCAUCCUGGCACAGAAGUAAAAGCAAGCAGAGAAUGAGGAAAGUUGGUCAGCGGUGCUUUGCUGCUAUGACUCAUGGGAGAACUCUUCUUUCAGAGAGAAGAUGGAGGAUCUCCAGCAAAGCACUUCGAAUUCAGUGAGACGCAAUAUUAUCUAAUCACCUGGAAAUGUAUCUGAACUAUUUAUGAUGUGUGGGAGGUCUUGGGACCUGUCUUUGUAGUCUUCUCUAGGUGACUGGUUUUGGUCAGUGUUGGAGACAGGGUACUAGACUAAGUGAGCUUUUGAGCUGACCCACUGCAGCUGUGUUUGUCUUAAGAUAUGAACAGUUUUGAUGAGUCUUACUGAUCAGCACUGGAGUUGAUGCGGCUCUGCUCUGAGUACAGAAGGGGGUUUAGGGAUGGAGGGCAAGUACCAAGGCCUUUGGCACCUCUUGGUAAACUGUUCUCACAGCAAAACACACACCUACAUAUUAGAUGUUCCCUGCUGAGAUGUUCACUGAGAUAAUAUUUGGCCUCCAGUGGCCCCUAGCCUGCUACAGGCAUUACUUCUGCGCUUACCUUGGGACUUGAACAGUGUGUUUUGUUGUAUUUGUGGGUCAUCUAAAGGAGAGGGAGAUCUCUCUGAACUUCAGGGUGAUAGUACAAGACUCACUGGUGAUCUGCUCCUGAAGAGUCUUUUCCCCUCUUUCCUUCCCCACUUAGUGGAAAGAGUAUAAGCUCAAAAAACUGAAGAACUCCCAUUAUAUUGCACAAAAAAUCUCUUUUCUCUAAUACAGUUUGAAAAAAAAUCAAUUCUUAAAGAAAAUGGCAAUACCUGAAUUAUGAUUAGCUGGAACAUUUUAGAAGGUAGAUUUUACCCAUUAAGGUCAGGGAUGUAGAAACGCUCCCUAGUUCUUAUAAUAAAUAACCAUGACACCUUUCUAAGUGUUUCCACCACUAUAGCUUGUGUUUUCUGAAGUGCCUAUGUGUUCAAUUCAAGUCAUGCUAGGAUUUCAGUGCACCUUUUAUGGAGUCUACUCUCAGAAUUCCAGCUGUUUAGAUGUGUCACUGACCAAAUGGCAGCAUGAAAAAUGUUAAUGCAUGAGAGUAGUUAAAUAAACGUCUCAUUUGAAUUGAACAUCAAAGAAAUGAGCAAGAGGAACACCUGUCCUUACACACCAUACAGAGCAUGCAUUGAGAAAAGCUAGAAAGCUUGAUUAUUAUUUCAGGGUCAGCUUUGUCUGUUUGUUCUGCAUGGGCUAAUUACUACUACUGAUGAAAUUACUAGCUCUCACCGUUAUCAGAAUUACUGUGUUCUGUGGAAGGGUGGUAGGACAAGGGACAGGGAAGCGGAACCACAUGAGUGAAUAAUUGCAGUGAAGUUAGACUCACUUUACAAGCAUUAGCGUUUCAGUGAGUAAUCAAAUGUCUGAACUGGGUCUUGAUCCUUGAAGGCUUUUGAACCUGUGUGCUUUUCUGUGGGCGAGCAACCUACCUGAUGUUGUGUUAUGAUGUAAAUUACCUCUACAGAUAGUGCUGGUGUGCACAUUAUAGCUUGAAAAGAUUUAACCUGAAAGCCACUGACAGAAUAAAAUGGGGACCUUGCUCAAAUUUGUCCUGGUAACACAUGAUGCUUAGAAAUGUUAAAUUAAUCUGCACAAAUAUUUUCAUUUAAUUUAUAUGUAGGGACCUCAUUUGUUUCCAGAAGUUGCAGCAACACUUUGCGUUUCUUGACCUUCAGACUUGCUUUUGAAAGGCUUCUUGAAUUUACCCUUCCAGAAUUUUAUGUUUUGUGCAUUUUUUUUUUAAGCUUACAGGUAGCUUAUUCCUAAACUAUAGACACAUUUGGGGCAUUAGAGAAAAUGUCAGAUUGCUUGAGACACCGGAUGUAUUAUUUUGAACUCCCUCUCAGACUUGCUGUCAAAGCUAUUUCUUGCUUUUGCAGAGGGUAGGCAAAGCUAUGCCAUUCUUUGUUGCUUCAGGACAAGUGGACCAAUAUUGGAAAUGACAUUUUCUUUGUGUUCCCUCACAUCCCUUUUUAUUUAUGUAUGUGGUCCCAUUGGAGUUGCUAAGAUGUCUUUUGUGCCAAGAACUAAUUCAACAGAGUAGCAUAUACAACUUGACUGGCAUCCGUAGGGCUAUGAAUUUGAUGCAUUGCAUUCCUUACUAUAAGUGAUGGACCAAGAGUUUAUUCCAGAUGUGUGCUUAGUAGGCGGAGCAAAUACAUCAGCUGCAUCCAGCUUUGGCUGCUCUUGCUCUGACAGGGAGGGAUAGUACUUGCACCCAGCAUGCAGGGCUCAGCACCACGCGGAGCUGGCCACAACAUGUUUACACUGUGGUUCUCCUUAGUAUUUGUCCAAAGCUAAAAUUAUUAAUUGCCCUUUGCAUCUUUCUCUCUUGCAGAAGUUGCCUUGCAAUCUUUCCUCGUCAGGGGGCUGGUGUCAGGAGGAAGCUACGCGGGUGGAUUUCUUCUUAAAUGAGCUAUUGCACACACUUACCCUGAUAGCAGCUCAUGUCAAUACUGGAUGUGAGUGGUGGAUUAGAGGGCAAAGGGCAUGUAAAGACUCCUUCCCUCUCCAGUGCCUUCUCAUCGGAUGAUUGAUAGAGGGUGAGAGAUUGAUUGGGAAACCUGUCCACUGACUUUUUCUUUUAUUCCUUGCUUACCUCUCUCUGCUGCCAGCUGUGUUUUCAUGCCUUUCUUACUGACAGAUCAGGCACAGCCAUGACCUGCAGUCUUAGGUUUUCAAAAACAAUUGGCAGAAAGAUGAGCUCUCAUAAAGAAC